CUCUAUUAUGCCAUGAAAGAUGUCUAUUCUUAACAAGAUUCAAAAUGGACAUUAACAUACCUCUUCAGAAAUCGGAGAAACUUGUGAGGUGGUGAGAUUUUCCUCCAACUUGGAAGCUGUGUGGUCCUAGAGUACAUCCUCAUCAAUCAGUUAAGAAGUUCACAGAUGCCAAAAAAACACUAACACUUGCUAGAAUGAGCUUUCUUACCUCAGAAGCUGUUUUCUCUUCGUCAACGUUAGACUCAGAUUUUUUUGAACAUUUGUGAGCCCCAUUCUCAACCAACUGCAAUUACAUACACGCGACAUAAAGUUAUUAGCUGAAAUUAAAAAUAGAGAUGCAAGAAGAGAAUAGAGGUAAAAGAGAACAGUGGCAGGUCCAACCCUCAGAAUUUCAGGAUCUUUCCAUGGGCCCUUAUCCGAACGCAUACAUCCUCCUUCAUCAGCGCAUUUACAUUUACCUCCUAAAAACUCAGGCAAUUCACUGACAAAGAAAACACAAUGGAAAUUAAGUCUUAAAGAUGGACAAAGAAAUACGAGGAGCGUAAAAAUAAAGAAUCAAUUUCAGAUUAUUUGUCAAAUGAAGAAACCAGAUACUGAGAUAUUCAAUGCAUUUAUGAACUCACCUUUCGUCAAUUAUUUCAAGCAACUUACUAUCAUACUUGUUGCCAAGAACCUGAUCAUAUAUAAAUUAAUAUAAGUUUCAAUGACACAAUUUUCCAAACACAACAAGCAGAAUUAGGAUAAGGUCUAUAGGCUCACAUUGAUUUUUGCUGUGGUCUUGGGAUCAAGGAAGGAUUUUACAGUGUUCCACAGUAUUCUAAAUCCAGAACCUGCAUUGAUGAUGAACAUGCGAUUCAAGGUCUGCAGUGAAGCAACCAAUUUCAUAGUAUUACUCAGUAAUCCACGAUGUUUAUUCACAACAAAACUUUUCCCCCAUAAUUCUAACCAAAAGUAGAUAAAUAAUAAUACCUCUGGAUAGUUGUCACCAUCAACCUUCUGAAUGCGAGUAACAAGUUCCCUAGCAUGUUUGCUGAAGCUUUUAAGCCCCUGUGACAUUGAAACAAUAUUUAUCUCAAGUUGCAUAAAAAAUUUCAUGUUAAAUAUAAUUAACUAACUGUUAACUAUUUUUAUG
This 1132-nucleotide long non-coding RNA is filed under the name Medicago truncatula (barrel medic). Its description in RNAcentral is "lncRNA gene29259". The record is from RNAcentral. Lineage: Eukaryota; Viridiplantae; Streptophyta; Magnoliopsida; Fabales; Fabaceae.